This 428-nucleotide ribosomal RNA is filed under the name Chrysomela lapponica. Its description in RNAcentral is "partial 16S ribosomal RNA". The stretch from base 297 to 428 matches the Rfam family "Bacterial large subunit ribosomal RNA", at positions 2473 to 2605 of the family's 2925-position model. Lineage: Eukaryota; Metazoa; Arthropoda; Insecta; Coleoptera; Chrysomelidae. The record is from RNAcentral.
CAAUAGUUUUUUAAUUGAAAGCUGGAAUGAAGGGUUGGAUAAAAAAAUAACUGUUUCUAUUUAAUUUAAUUAGAAUUUUAUAUUUAAGUUAAAAAGCUUAAAUUUUGUUAAAAGACGAGAAGACCCUAUAGAGUUUAAUAAAUAAUUAUAUUAUUAUAUUUAGAAUUAAUUUUAUUAAUUAUAUUAUUUAUUUAAUUGGGGUGAUUAAAAAAUUCAAAUAACUUUUUUUAUAUUAUAACAUUUAUAGGUGAAUAUUUGAUCCAUGGUUAAUGAUUAAAAGAUAAAAUUACCUUAGGGAUAACAGCGUUAUUUUUUUUUAGAGUUCAAAUCGAAAGAAAAGAUUGCGACCUCGAUGUUGGAUUAAAAUAAAUUUUUGGUGUAGAAGCUAAAAUAUUAGGUCUGUUCGACCUUUAAAAUUUUACAUGAUC